AACUAGAAACUUGUCUACCUUCCCUUUUGAAAAGCGAAGUCUUUACAUAUAAUUACAUGUCGUACAAAGUCCAUUUUAUAUCAUACAUCCUUUUGCCCUUGGGGUUUGGUUGGUCUACAAAGAAUGUCACUUAUCCGAAUUUCAACCAUACAUCCUCACACAAUCUUAUCCAUACAAAACUUUCCAACAUAUUACGCUCUCUGCACUGGCUGCAAAUCAUCAACAAUAGAGGCCUCUCUGCACCAAGCUUCUUACAAGACAAUUCAAGAUGGCAGCAACAGCAGCUGCAACCUCAGCAAUAGGUUUUGUUCCAUUAGGGGCCGCCCCUUUGAAGUCUCGUUGCUCCAGGCUAAACUGUAGCAAGGUGCAAUGUUUGCGAACCUCCAUGGCGUAUGCAGGCUUUGAACCAGACAACAAAUUGAUGAAGAUGGGAUUAGCUUCCACCGCUAAUGAGAAAUUUGCUUACAAUGCUUUUAAAGGCAGUAACUGUGAUAAUAGAAGACCAAGAACUCUUGGAAUAAGCUAUGGUGUGGGGGCAGAAAUAGCAAGAAUAGUACCCAUCAUGAGUGGUUUGGUUCUCAUGGGAAUUGCUAUUGGCUUUGUGCUUCUGAGGAUAGAAGCAUCUGUUGAGGAGUCACAAGAGUAGAAACCCAACUUUGUUUUGAAUCUAGGUUUCUUUCUUGUUGUGUAAUGAAUUCUCAAAAUUCAGUGUAAGAUUGGAUUAAAUAGAAAUUCUAAAAUGAAAAACUGUGUCCCGUGACUUCCUCAUCA
Molecule: long non-coding RNA, 771 nt
Organism: Cryptomeria japonica (Japanese cedar)
Lineage: Eukaryota; Viridiplantae; Streptophyta; Pinopsida; Cupressales; Cupressaceae
Exons: 2
Source: RefSeq, a predicted model, not a curated record